UACGGGGGGGGCAAGCGUUGUUCGGAAUUACUGGGCGUAAAGGGCGCGUAGGCGGUUUGCUAAGUUGGAUGUGAAAACUCUGGGCUUAACCCAGAGCCUGCAUUCAAUACUGGCAGGCUAGAGUUCUGGAGGGGAUAGCGGAAUUCCUGGUGUAGCGGUGAAAUGCGUAGAUAUCAGGAGGAACACCGGUGGCGAAGGCGGCUAUCUGGACAGAGUCUGACGCUGAGGCGCGAAAGCUAGGGGAGCAAACAGG
RNAcentral lists this ribosomal RNA (253 nucleotides) under uncultured bacterium. RNAcentral describes it as "partial 16S ribosomal RNA". It matches the Rfam family "Bacterial small subunit ribosomal RNA", at positions 524 to 776 of the family's 1533-position model. The record is from RNAcentral.